CCUACGGGAGGCUGCAGUGGGGAAUAUUGGACAAUGGGGGCAACCCUGAUCCAGCCAUGCCGCGUGUGUGAAGAAGGCCCUCGGGUUGUAAAGCACUUUCAGUGAGGAAGAACGCCUGGUGGUUAAUACCCAUCAGGAAAGACAUCACUCACAGAAGAAGCACCGGCUAACUCCGUGCCAGCAGCCGCGGUAAUACGGAGGGUGCGAGCGUUAAUCGGAAUUACUGGGCUUAAAGCGCGCGUAGGUGGCUUGAUAAGCCGGUUGUGAAAGCCCCGGGCUCAACCUGGGAACGGCAUCCGGAACUGUCAAGCUAGAGUGCAGGAGAGGAAGGUAGAAUUCCCGGUGUAGCGGUGAAAUGCGUAGAGAUCGGGAGGAAUACCAGUGGCGAAGGCGGCCUUCUGGACUGACACUGACACUGAGGUGCGAAAGCGUGGGUAGCAAACAGGAUUAGAUACCCUGGUAGUC
This 465-nucleotide ribosomal RNA is filed under the name Vreelandella stevensii. RNAcentral describes it as "partial 16S ribosomal RNA". It matches the Rfam family "Bacterial small subunit ribosomal RNA", at positions 338 to 795 of the family's 1533-position model. The record is from RNAcentral. Lineage: Bacteria; Pseudomonadati; Pseudomonadota; Gammaproteobacteria; Oceanospirillales; Halomonadaceae.